RNAcentral lists this ribosomal RNA (253 nucleotides) under uncultured bacterium. RNAcentral describes it as "partial 16S ribosomal RNA". It matches the Rfam family "Bacterial small subunit ribosomal RNA", at positions 524 to 776 of the family's 1533-position model. The record is from RNAcentral.
UACGAGUGCCCCAAGCGUUAUCCGGAAUUAUUGGGCGUAAAGGGUGCGUAGGUGGUUCUAUUAGUCUUCUGUUAAAGCUCUCGGCUCAACCGGGAAAAUGCAGGGGAAACGGUAGAACUAGAGGAUGCGAGAGGUCUGUGGAACUCAUAGUGUAGGGGUAAAAUCCGUUGAUAUUAUGGGGAACACCAAAAGCGAAGGCAGCAGACUGGCGCACUCCUGACACUGAAACACGAAAGCGUGGGUAGCGAAUGGG